UAACACAUGCAAGUCGAACGGAAGUUAGAGCUUCGGUUUAACUUUAGUGGCGAACGGGUGAGUAACGCGUGAGGAACCUGCCUUUCAGUGGGGGACAACAGUUGGAAACGACUGCUAAUACCGCAUGAUACUUUUGGGGGACAUCCCUUGGAAGUCAAAGCUUUAUGUGCUGAAAGAUGGCCUCGCGUCUGAUUAGCUAGUUGGUGAGGUAACGGCUCACCAAGGCUACGAUCGGUAGGGGUUCUGAGAGGAAGGUCCCCCACAAUGGAACUGAGACACGGCCCAAACUCC
Molecule: ribosomal RNA, 291 nt
Filed under: uncultured bacterium
Lineage: Bacteria
Description: partial 16S ribosomal RNA
Rfam family: Bacterial small subunit ribosomal RNA
Source: RNAcentral